RNAcentral lists this ribosomal RNA (117 nucleotides) under Pteropus alecto (black flying fox). The record is from RNAcentral. Lineage: Eukaryota; Metazoa; Chordata; Mammalia; Chiroptera; Pteropodidae.
GUCUACCGCCAUGCUAUCGAACAAGUCCGAUCCCAUCUGAUCUUGGAAGCUAAUCAGGGUUGGGCCUGGUUAGUACUUGGAUGGGAGACCACCUAGGAAGACAAGGUGCUAUAGGCA